ACUGGGCCCAGGGGCACGUGCCUAUAUUCCCAGCAACUCGGGAGGCAGAGAUGGGAGGAUCACUUGAGCCCAGGAGUUCUGAGCUGUAGUGAGCUAUGCCGAAUGGGUGUCCAUACCUAAGUUUGGCAUCAAUAUGGUGACCUCUCGGGAUCGGAGGACCACCAGGUUAAGGAGGGGUGAACUGGACCAGGUCAGAAACGGAGCAGGUCAAAACUCCCGUGCUGAUCAGUAGUGGGAUCACGCCUGUGAAUAGCCACUGCACUACGGCCUGGGCAACACAGUGAGACCCCCGUCUCUU
Molecule: signal recognition particle RNA, 298 nt
Filed under: Aotus nancymaae (Ma's night monkey)
Lineage: Eukaryota; Metazoa; Chordata; Mammalia; Primates; Aotidae
Description: Metazoan signal recognition particle RNA (ENSANAG00000001207.1)
Rfam family: Metazoan signal recognition particle RNA
About the family: The signal recognition particle (SRP) is a universally conserved ribonucleoprotein. It is involved in the co-translational targeting of proteins to membranes. The eukaryotic SRP consists of a 300-nucleotide 7S RNA and six proteins: SRPs 72, 68, 54, 19, 14, and 9.
Source: Rfam by way of RNAcentral